This is a long non-coding RNA of Tyto alba (common barn owl), 207 nucleotides long. RefSeq lists it as uncharacterized. The transcript has 3 exons. Lineage: Eukaryota; Metazoa; Chordata; Aves; Strigiformes; Tytonidae. The record is from RefSeq and is a predicted model, not a curated record.
UCAAGCUGGGUCUCCGUCUCUCAAUCGCGGCAGAUUACUGUUCUGUGCCUGCUGGAGACUGCAACUGAUACAGACUGAGGACUGUUGCUUAGAUGAGACAACUCACCUGCGCAAAAGUGGACAUGGCACUGGGUAAGAGAUAUAAGGUGAAACAAAAAAGGCCCAAACAAUACGCCUCAAACCAAAGCUGACUUCUGAGUGAAUGCC